UACGGGGGGAGCAAGCGUUGUUCGGAUUUACUGGGCGUAAAGGGCGCGUAGGCGGUCAGCACAAGUCAGUUGUGAAAUCUCCGGGCUUAACUCGGAAAGGUCAACUGAUACUGUGCGACUAGAGUGCAGAAGGGGCAACUGGAAUUCCUGGUGUAGCGGUGAAAUGCGCAGAUAUCAGGAGAAACACCGGUGGCGAAGGCGGGUCUCUGGGCCGGUACUGACGCUAAGGCGCGAAAGCGUGGGGAGCGAACAGG
RNAcentral lists this ribosomal RNA (254 nucleotides) under uncultured bacterium. RNAcentral's name for it is "partial 16S ribosomal RNA". It matches the Rfam family "Bacterial small subunit ribosomal RNA", at positions 524 to 776 of the family's 1533-position model. The record is from RNAcentral.